GGUUAUAGCUCAGCGGUAGAGUGCUUACCUAGCACGUGCAAGGUCCUGGGUUCAAUCCUCAGCACCA
This 67-nucleotide transfer RNA is filed under the name Marmota monax (woodchuck). Its description in RNAcentral is "tRNA.Ala". Lineage: Eukaryota; Metazoa; Chordata; Mammalia; Rodentia; Sciuridae. The record is from RNAcentral.